UGUCCUACGGGGCGCAGCAGUGGGGAAUAUUGGGCAAUGGGCACAAGCCUGACCCAGCAACGCCGCGUGAAGGAAGAAGGCUUUCGGGUUGUAAACUUCUUUUCUCAGGGACGAAGAAAGUGACGGUACCUGAGGAAUAAGCCACGGCUAACUACGUGCCAGCAGCCGCGGUAAUACGUAGGUGGCAAGCGUUAUCCGGAUUUAUUGGGUGUAAAGGGCGUGUAGGCGGGAGCGCAAGUCAGAUGUGAAAACUCAGGGCUCAACCCUGAGCCUGUAUUUGAAACUGUGUUUCUU
This 294-nucleotide ribosomal RNA is filed under the name uncultured bacterium. RNAcentral describes it as "partial 16S ribosomal RNA". It matches the Rfam family "Bacterial small subunit ribosomal RNA", at positions 335 to 643 of the family's 1533-position model. The record is from RNAcentral.